RNAcentral lists this long non-coding RNA (240 nucleotides) under Lathyrus oleraceus (garden pea). RNAcentral's name for it is "Pisum sativum (pea) long non-coding RNA (PSAT_LNC015275)". Lineage: Eukaryota; Viridiplantae; Streptophyta; Magnoliopsida; Fabales; Fabaceae. The record is from RNAcentral.
UACACCUCAAGUGAGAGGUCUGAUUCUCAAGACAAAUCUAGUGGCAGUUUUGGAUCUAAAGGUGAAAAAGAUGCUAGCUCCUCAGACUGAGUUGUGGUGAUGAUGGUCCCCCUAUUAUAAUGAUGUGUGUUCUGGAUGCUUGGAUGCAUUGAUGUUUUCUGUUUGAUGUUUGUUGUUUUUUUUGGCUGUCUUUUUUUAUGCGAUGAUGUUAUUUUUGGGCUCUUUAUGAGUUCCCUGGAU